AGGGCGUACGGCGAAUGCCUUGCCACUCGAAACUGAAGAAGGACGCGCCAAACUGCGAAAAGCUCCGUGAAGCUGUAAGGAAGCGAAGAAGCGGAGGUGUCCGAAUGGGGGAACCCGGCAGCAGACAUGAGCUGUCAUCUGCAGGUGAAUACAUGGCCUGCAAGAGAGGUACCCGGCGAACUGAAACAUCUAAGUAGCCGGAGGAAAAGAAAACAACAGUGAUUCCCUGAGUAGCGGCGAGCGAAAGGGGAGAAGCCCAAACCGGUUGAAGGACCGGGGUUGAAGGACCAUGACAUGGCAAGAACGAGGAUAGGAGAACGGGAUCGAAAGCCCGGCCGAAGAAGGUGAAAGCCCUGUAACCGAAAUCCGAGUAAAGCCUAAUGGGAUCCUGAGUACGGCGAGACACGAGAAAUCUUGUCGGAAGCAGGCGGGACCAUCCGCCAAGGCUAAAUAUAAACGAGUGAGCGAUAGUGAACCAGUACCGUGAGGGAAAGGUGAAAAGAACCGCGGGAGCGGAGUGAAAGAGAACCUGAAACCGUAUGCCUACAAGAAGUCAGAGCCCGUUAAGGGGUGAUGGCGUGCCUUUUGUAGAAUGAACCGGCGAGUUGCGACAGACUGCGAGGUUAAGGAGGAAAGACCGGAGCCGAAGCGAAAGCGAGUCUUAAGAGGGCGAAAGUAGGAUGUUGCAGACCCGAAACCGGGUGAUCUAGCCAUGAGCAGGUUGAAGUUGAGGUGAAACUCAAUGGAGGACCGAACCGACUACCGUUGAAAAGUUAGCGGAUGACUUGUGGCUAGGGGAGAAAUUCCAAUCGAACCCGGAGAUAGCUGGUUCUCCCCGAAAUAGCUUUAGGGCUAGCGUCGGAAAGAACCUUAGUGAAGGUAGAGCACUGAAUGUGUGAUGGCCCCAUCCCGGGGUACUGAAUACAAUCAAACUGCGAAUGUCAUUAAGGAUGUCCGGCAGUCAGACUGUGAGUGAUAAGGUCCAUGGUCAAGAGGGAAACAGCCCAGACCGCCAGUUAAGGUCCCAAAAUACAGGCUAAGUGGAAAAGGAUGUGGGGAUGCCCAGACAACUAGGAGGUUGGCUCAGAAGCAGCCAUCCUUUAAAGAGUGCGUAACAGCUCACUAGUCGAGUGACCCUGCGCCGAAAAUGUACCGGGGCUAAGCCUGAUACCGAAACUGCGGAUUGUAGGAAACUAUAGUGGUAGGGGAGCGUUGUAUACGAGCAGAAGCCGUACCGUGAGGAGCGGUGGAUUGUAUAGAAGUGAGAAUGCCGGUGUGAGUAGCGAGAUGUAGGUGAGAAUCCUACACACCGAAAGCCCAAGGAUUCCAGGGGAAGGUUCGUCCGCCCUGGGUAAGUCGGGACCUAACGCGAGGCCGAAAGGCGUAGUGGAUGGAAAGCAGGCGAAAGAUUCCUGCACCCGUAUAUGGAGCGAAGGAGUGACGGAGACGGAUAGUGUGACCCUCUUAAUGGAUUGAGGGCGAAGCGAAGCGGCUGGUUACCAGGCAAAUCCGGUAACCAUAAGGCUAGAGCGUGACAGGUAAGCGAAAUCUUAGGAAAGUAGCGAAGCACAUGAUGACGGCUUCCAGGAAAAGCUUCUGGCAAUGCAUAUGCGGCCCGUACCAAAACCGACACAGGUGGGCAGGGAGAGAAUCCCGAGGUGAGCGAGAGAACUGUUGCCAAGGAACUCGGCAAAAUGACUCCGUAAGUUAGCGAGAAGGAGUGCUUAAGCAAUUAAGCCGCAGUGAAGAGGCCCAAGCGACUGUUUAACUAAAACACAGCUCUCUGCGAAGUCGCAAGACGAAGUAUAGGGGGUGACACCUGCCCGGUGCUGGAAGGUUAAGAGGAUCUGUUAAGAGCGAUCUGAAGCAGUGAUCCGAAGCCCCAGUGAACGGCGGCCGUAACUAUAACGGUCCUAAGGUAGCGAAAUUCCUUGUCAGGUAAGUUCUGACCCGCACGAAAGGUGUAACGAUUUGGGCGCUGUCUCGGCAGCAGACUCGGGGAAAUCUUAGUACCUGUGAAAAUGCAGGUUACCCGCAACUAGACGGAAAGACCCCAUGGAGCUUUACUGCAGCCUGAUAUUGAAUUCUGGUCAUACAUGUACAGGAUAGGUGGGAGACAAAGAGACGUGCACGCCAGUGUACGAGGAGUCGACGUUGGGAUACCACUCUUGUGUGACCGGGGUUCUAACCUGGUAUCGAGAACAGGUACGGGGAGAGUGUCAGGUGGGCAGUUUGACUGGGGCGGUCGCCUCCCAAAGAGUAACGGAGGCGCCCAAAGGUACGCUCAGAUUGGAUGGAAACCAAUCGUCGAGUGCAAUUGCAGAAGCGUGCUUGACUGUGAGACAGACAAGUCGAACAGGGACGAAAGUCGGGAAUAGUGAUCCGGCGGUGCCGAAUGGAAGGGCCGUCGCUCAACGGAUAAAAGCU
Molecule: ribosomal RNA, 2427 nt
Filed under: human gut metagenome
Description: bacterial LSU rRNA
Rfam family: Bacterial large subunit ribosomal RNA
Source: RNAcentral